GAACCGUACGAACGUUAUUCGGAAUCACUGGGCUUAAAGGGUGCGUAGGCGGCCUGGUCAGUUGGGGUGUGAAAUCCCUCGGCUCAACCGAGGAACUGCGCUCAAUACUGCCAGGGCUUGAGGGGAGAUAGAGGUGAGCGGAACUGAUGGUGGAGCGGUGAAAUGCGUUGAUAUCAUCAGGAACACCUGUGGCGAAGGCGGCUCACGUGGGUCUCUUCUGACGCUGAGGCAACGAAAGCGUAGGGUAGCGGAACGGGUAUUAGACGUUAACCCCGGUAGUCCUAGCUGUAAACGAUGAGCACUAGAUCGGAGACCCUUCCACAGGAUUCCGGUCGUAGCGAAAGUGUUAAGUGCUCCGCCUGGGGAGUAUGGUCGCAAAGGCUG
RNAcentral lists this ribosomal RNA (384 nucleotides) under uncultured organism. RNAcentral describes it as "partial 16S ribosomal RNA". It matches the Rfam family "Bacterial small subunit ribosomal RNA", at positions 527 to 896 of the family's 1533-position model. The record is from RNAcentral.